This 425-nucleotide ribosomal RNA is filed under the name uncultured soil bacterium. RNAcentral describes it as "bacterial SSU rRNA". It matches the Rfam family "Bacterial small subunit ribosomal RNA", at positions 94 to 558 of the family's 1533-position model. The record is from RNAcentral.
AGUGGCGGACGGGUGAGUAACACGUAGGUACCUGCCCUGAAGAGGGGGACAACACCGCGAAAGCGGUGCUAAUACCGCAUAAGACCACUGGGAUAAAAGUAGCACUUCAGGAUGGGCCUGCGGCCUAUCAGGUAGUUGGUGGGGUAACGGCCCACCAAGCCCGAGACGGGUAGCCGGUCUGAGAGGACGAACGGNCACACUGGAACUGAGACACGGUCCAGACUCCUACGGGAGGCAGCAGUGGGGAAUUUUGCACAAUGGGCGAAAGCCUGAUGCAGCGACGCCGCGUGGAGGAUGAAGGCCUUCGGGUUGUAAACUCCUUUUGCAGGGGACAAUUGAUGGUACCCUGCGAAUAAGCCACGGCUAACUCUGUGCCAGCAGACGCGGUAAGACAGAAGUGGCAAGCGUUGUUCGGAAUCACUGGG